AGAGUUUGAUCCUGGCUCAGGAUGAACGCUGGCGGCGUGCUUAACACAUGCAAGUCGAACGAUCCUUCGGGAUAGUGGCGGACGGGUGAGUAACGCGUGGGAAUCUGCCCUCAGGAGGGGGAUAACGGCUGGAAACGGCCGCUAAUACCCCAUAUGCCGAGAGGUGAAACGAAUUUCGCCUAAGGAUGAGCCCGCGUCUGAUUAGCUAGUUGGUGGGGUAAAGGCCUACCAAGGCAACGAUCAGUAGCUGGUCUGAGAGGAUGAUCAGCCACACUGGGACUGAGACACGGCCCAGACUCCUACGGGAGGCAGCAGUGGGGAAUUUUCCGCAAUGGGCGAAAGCCUGACGGAGCAACGCCGCGUGAGGGAUGAAGGCCUCUGGGCUGUAAACCUCUUUUCUCAAGGAAGAAGACCUGACGGUACUUGAGGAAUAAGCCACGGCUAAUUCCGUGCCAGCAGCCGCGGUAAUACGGGAGUGGCAAGCGUUAUCCGGAAUUAUUGGGCGUAAAGCGUCCGCAGGCGGCCUUGUAAGUCUGUUGUUAAAGCGUGGAGCUCAACUCCAUUUAAGCAAUGGAAACUACAAGGCUGGAGUGUGGUAGGGGCAGAGGGAAUUCCCGGUGUAGCGGUGAAAUGCGUAGAUAUCGGGAAGAACACCAGUGGCGAAGGCGCUCUGCUGGGCCAUAACUGACGCUCAUGGACGAAAGCCAGGGGAGCGAAAGGGAUUAGAUACCCCUGUAGUCCUGGCCGUAAACGAUGAACACUAGGUGUCGGGGGAAUCGACCCCCUCGGUGUCGUAGCCAACGCGUUAAGUGUUCCGCCUGGGGAGUACGCACGCAAGUGUGAAACUCAAAGGAAUUGACGGGGGCCCGCACAAGCGGUGGAGUAUGUGGUUUAAUCCGAUGCAACGCGAAGAACCUUACCAGGGUUUGACAUCCUGCGAACCCCUGAGAAAUCGGGGGGUGCCUUCGGGAGCGCAGAGACAGGUGGUGCAUGGCUGUCGUCAGCUCGUGUCGUGAGAUGUUGGGUUAAGUCCCGCAACGAGCCAACCCACGUCUUUAGUUGCCAGCAUUCAGUUGGGCACUCUAGAGAGACCGCCGGUGAUAAGCCGGAGGAAGGUGUGGAUGACGUCAAGUCAUCAUGCCCCUUACAUCCUGGGCUACACACGUACUACAAUGCUACGGACAAAGGGCAGCAAGCUCGCGAGAGUUAGCAAAUCCCAUAAACCGUGGCUCAGUCAGAUCGUAGGCUGCAACUCGCCUACGUGAAGGAGGAAUCGCUAGUAAUCGCAGGUCAGCAUACUGCGGUGAAUACGUUCCCGGGCCUUGUACACACCGCCCGUCACACCAUGGAAGUUGGCCAUGCCCGAAGUCGUUACUCCAACCCUUGUGGAGGAGGACGCCGAAGGUGGGGCUGAUGACUGGGGUGAAGUCGUAACAAGGUA
RNAcentral lists this ribosomal RNA (1441 nucleotides) under metagenome. RNAcentral's name for it is "bacterial SSU rRNA". It matches the Rfam family "Bacterial small subunit ribosomal RNA". The record is from RNAcentral.